This 350-nucleotide long non-coding RNA is filed under the name Homo sapiens (human). Its description in RNAcentral is "HSALNT0170024". The record is from RNAcentral. Lineage: Eukaryota; Metazoa; Chordata; Mammalia; Primates; Hominidae.
CAGCCGAAGGCCACCUGGAAGCUCACUCCGUAUUUGAAAUGGUGCUUCUUGAAGUUUCAUUAGGCUGUCCUCCAAUCUCCUUUCCAAAGGGACCUUGUGACCUUCCUCAAAAAACACCACUGGAAGUUUAGGCUUGACACAAUGCUGUACAAAGGAAGCAAGAGAGAUCAAGCAGCAGGGGUGCGGUGAGCGGCCUGGCCACAGCACCCACAGCAGGUGCAGCCCUGCCGACUGAGAUUUCCUGCCAGCAACCACAUGGCUUGUCCUCCCUGAGCCUUGCCAGCCGGUCGGCGUACAGCUGUGAGCCACGGCACACACAAGUGUCCUGAGAGGUUUUUCCUGGAUGAAAU